UUGGGUUAGCCAAAAAAGUUCAUUUAGAUUUUUCCAUACCAUCUUAUAGAAAAACCUGAAUGAACUUUCUGGCCAGCCCAA
Molecule: microRNA precursor, 81 nt
Filed under: Ovis aries (sheep)
Lineage: Eukaryota; Metazoa; Chordata; Mammalia; Artiodactyla; Bovidae
Description: miRNA (ENSOARG00000023320.1)
Source: RNAcentral